GCAUGCAUGAAAAGAUAUAUAUACUUUUAUAUUUUUCAACUCAUUACAAUAUGAGCAAAGCAAACAGCCUAUUUUCUACUCGUACUUUUAUCGCUACGCAUAGCGUUAUUUCUCUAAAAUGUUAAACAAGUAUAUAUAAACAGAUCCAAACAGGACUACUCGCAAUGCGGUCCUGCAUGAGUUGGCGAUCUACUUGUGCAGAGUUGGCAACAACAGUAAUCGCCAAUCAAAGAUGCUUUAAGAAUAUUUAAGUCCACGCCAUUUAGUUAAUUACGCUUAGAAUUACGUACACCUACGAUAUUCGUUUUACACGCUCCAUGCAUGUAUUUUAAAUAAGUCAACCGAUAACAAGGUCUCCUUCAUACGAAGACACACCUCACGGGGGACCAUGUUUCAUUGGGACCAUCCACAAUUUUUAUUUUUCUUUUUUAGUUUCUCAUUUUGUUUUAGCUAUAUUCAAAUUUUGGUCUCAGUGAUCUGCAUGCAUGAACUCUAUUAUAUAUGAAAAAUAUUUUGAAUGCAUGAAUAUCUUAUUUUGAAUUUAGAAUAGAGUAAUAUAUUUCAUCUUCUAGUUAAUUUUUUUUUUAAAUAAAAUAAAUUAUUUUGCAAGUAAAAUAUAUUCUCAUAUAAAAUUAUAG
Molecule: long non-coding RNA, 638 nt
Filed under: Ananas comosus (pineapple)
Lineage: Eukaryota; Viridiplantae; Streptophyta; Magnoliopsida; Poales; Bromeliaceae
Description: long non-coding RNA (ACOM_LNC014203)
Source: RNAcentral